AGAGUUUGAUCCUGGCUCAGGACGAACGCUGGCGGCGUGCUUAACACAUGCAAGUCGAACGGAAAGGCCCCUUCGGGGGUGCUCGAGUGGCGAACGGGUGAGUAACACGUGGGUGAUCUGCCCUGCACUUUGGGAUAAGCCUGGGAAACUGGGUCUAAUACCGGAUAGGACUACGCGAUGCAUGUCGUGUGGUGGAAAGCUUUGGCGGUGUGGGAUGGGCCCGCGGCCUAUCAGCUUGUUGGUGGGGUGAUGGCCUACCAAGGCGACGACGGGUAGCCGGCCUGAGAGGGUGUCCGGCCACACUGGGACUGAGAUACGGCCCAGACUCCUACGGGAGGCAGCAGUGGGGAAUAUUGCACAAUGGGCGCAAGCCUGAUGCAGCGACGCCGCGUGAGGGAUGACGGCCUUCGGGUUGUAAACCUCUUUCAGUAUCGACGAAGCGCAAGUGACGGUAGAUACAGAAGAAGCACCGGCCAACUACGUGCCAGCAGCGGCGGUAAUAC
This 503-nucleotide ribosomal RNA is filed under the name uncultured bacterium. Its description in RNAcentral is "bacterial SSU rRNA". It matches the Rfam family "Bacterial small subunit ribosomal RNA", at positions 8 to 526 of the family's 1533-position model. The record is from RNAcentral.